UACAGGAUGCAUAAAAUUAACUAGGUGAUUUAUAUAAAAGCUGAAUUAGUUUUUUAUCUACGAAGAGGACAUAUUGACAAGAGGAUAAAGCCGUCCAUUGCACAGGACUUAACAUACGUUAACGAUGAUUUUGUAUUUGGCGUUCGUGUCCUUCCUCUGUCUUCAGGUCACAGAUCUAGUUUAUGGACAAGAUGUUUGUGGACACCAGUAUUAUCAUUCUGGAUUUGAAAUGUGCUGCAACGGAGUUGUAAAUAGGCGAGUUUGGGGCACAAGUUGCUGUGGAACUAUGGCAUACAACUCAGAUUUUGAUACUUGCUGCAACGGAUUUGUAACUAGACGCAGCAGAGGCGCAAGUUGCUGCGGAACAAGAGCCUAUUAUUCCCAAUUUCAAGUUUGUUGCAACGGAGUUGUAAAUAACCGGAGAUGGGGCACAAGUUGCUGUGGAACUACUGCGUACAAUUCUAAUUUUAACAAAUGUUGCAAUGGAUAUGUCUGUUAAAUCUAUCUCGAAAUAAAACGCCAUCGGCUCUUUUCUUGUAAA
Long non-coding RNA from Saccostrea echinata, 541 nucleotides. RefSeq lists it as uncharacterized. The record is from RefSeq and is a predicted model, not a curated record. Lineage: Eukaryota; Metazoa; Mollusca; Bivalvia; Ostreida; Ostreidae. The transcript is spliced from 3 exons.